CCCAAUUGAUUGAUGGUGCUUGCACCUGAUUGAUUUUGGUUGCCAACGAGUGGCGGACGGGUGAGUAACACGUAGGUAACCUGCCCAGAAGCGGGGGACAACAUUUGGAAACAGAUGCUAAUACCGCAUAACAGCGUUGUUCGCAUGAACAACGCUUAAAAGAUGGCUUCUCGCUAUCACUUCUGGAUGGACCUGCGGUGCAUUAGCUUGUUGGUGGGGUAACGGCCUACCAAGGCGAUGAUGCAUAGCCGAGUUGAGAGACUGAUCGGCCACAAUGGGACUGAGACACGGCCCAUACUCCUACGGGAGGCAGCAGUAGGGAAUCUUCCACAAUGGGCGCAAGCCUGAUGGAGCAACACCGCGUGAGUGAAGAAGGGUUUCGGCUCGUAAAGCUCUGUUGUUAAAGAAGAACACGUAUGAGAGUAACUGUUCAUACGUUGACGGUAUUUAACCAGAAAGUCACGGCUAACUACGUGCCAGCAGCCGCGGUAAUACGUAGGUGGCAAGCGUUAUCCGGAUUUAUUGGGCGUAAAGAGAGUGCAGGCGGUUUUCUAAGUCUGAUGUGAAAGCCUUCGGCUUAACCGGAGAAGUGCAUCGGAAACUGGAUAACUUGAGUGCAGAAGAGGGUAGUGGAACUCCAUGUGUAGCGGUGGAAUGCGUAGAUAUAUGGAAGAACACCAGUGGCGAAGGCGGCUACCUGGUCUGCAACUGACGCUGAGACUCGAAAGCAUGGGUAGCGAACAGGAUUAGAUACCCUGGUAGUCCAUGCCGUAAACGAUGAGUGCUAGGUGUUGGAGGGUUUCCGCCCUUCAGUGCCGGAGCUAACGCAUUAAGCACUCCGCCUGGGGAGUACGACCGCAAGGUUGAAACUCAAAGGAAUUGA
RNAcentral lists this ribosomal RNA (883 nucleotides) under uncultured bacterium. Its description in RNAcentral is "bacterial SSU rRNA". It matches the Rfam family "Bacterial small subunit ribosomal RNA", at positions 57 to 913 of the family's 1533-position model. The record is from RNAcentral.